CCCUUAGACGUUCUGGGCCGCACGCGCGCUACACUGACCAGUGCAACAAGCAUCCGUCCUUGGCCGACAGGCUCGGGCAAUCUUUGAACGCUGGUCGUGAUGGGGAUAGACUUUUGCAAUUUUUGGUCUUCAACGAGGAAUUCCUAGUAAACGCAAGUCAUCAACUUGCAUUGAUUACGUCCCUGCCCUUUGUACACACCGCCCGUCGCACCUACCGAUUGAGUGGUCCGGUGAAGCCUCCGGAUUGGCGCGCACCUCGGUGCCGCCGAGAAGUUGGCUAAACCUUACCAUUUAGAGGAAGGUGAAGUCGUAACA
This 315-nucleotide ribosomal RNA is filed under the name uncultured eukaryote. Its description in RNAcentral is "partial 18S ribosomal RNA". It matches the Rfam family "Eukaryotic small subunit ribosomal RNA", at positions 1470 to 1796 of the family's 1831-position model. The record is from RNAcentral.